UACGUAGGCAGCAAGCGUUGUUCGGAAUUAUUGGGUGUAAAGGGCGCGUAGGCGGUGCGGUAAGUCACCUGUGAAAUCUCCUGGCUCAACUGGGAGCUUGCAGGCGAAACUGCCGUGCUGGAGUGUGGGAGAGGUGCGUGGAAUUCCUGGUGUAGCGGUGAAAUGCGUAGAUAUCAGGAGGAACACCUGUGGCGAAAGCGGCGCACUGGACCACAACUGACGCUGAGGCGCGAAAGCGUGGGGAGCAAACGGG
RNAcentral lists this ribosomal RNA (253 nucleotides) under uncultured bacterium. Its description in RNAcentral is "partial 16S ribosomal RNA". It matches the Rfam family "Bacterial small subunit ribosomal RNA", at positions 524 to 776 of the family's 1533-position model. The record is from RNAcentral.